RNAcentral lists this long non-coding RNA (912 nucleotides) under Papio anubis (olive baboon). RNAcentral's name for it is "lncRNA (ENSPANG00000043595.1)". The record is from RNAcentral. Lineage: Eukaryota; Metazoa; Chordata; Mammalia; Primates; Cercopithecidae.
AUGACUGGCAGGCUCAGCGGGGACUUCUAUCAGACCAUUUACACGUCCUUUUCCCAUGAGGCUUGGCAUUCUCACCGUACAGCUGCUGGCUCCCAGGGCUUGUGUUCCGAGAGGGAACAUCCAGAUAGUAGAGGUUCCAGAAAGCCAGAUGGAAACCUUAUGCCUCUGAGGAUCUUGUCUUGGAAGUCACAUAACAUCACUUCUUCUGUUUUCUACAGGUCAAAACAGUCACAACCCUGCUCAAAUUCGCAAAGAUGGGACGGAAAUGGAACCUCUUCAUGGGAGGAAGGGACAAAAACAAAACAGUUUGUAGGGAGAACGGCAAACGACUUGUCUCCUGACUACCAUCCCUGUUACUGGAGAUUGCAGAGAAUUAUCACCAUAACUGGAGCUGGACAAAUGGUCUCAUCCACUGGGAAAUGUCUAGAAGGUAAGGCCAAAACCAGUUUGACAUCAAAUUUUUUCAGUAUUUUAUCCCAGAAUUUGUGCCUUCUCCUUUUAGUUCGAACUUUUUCCCCCUUCCUCCAGAGUAUUCAUUUGUCAAAUCCCGAUGCUUUUUAUAACCGAAGUUAUAAAGGACUCUAGUUAGACAAUAGUAUUACAAGAUAUUGGAAAAAAGUGUAAUACCUGAGAUAUUUUCUGUCCUUAGUGUGUUUUUUGUGUGUUGGUGGGGGGAGAAUAGGUAUAUAACACUAAAAUCUGAGUUCUGGCCUUACAAUGUAAUCAUAAUCGAGUGAUUAUCUAAAUCAGUGGCUCUGUCUCAGAACAAUUAAGUAAGAGUUUCUGGGAGCCAGUCACAGUCAUUGCUAUAUUUUAGUCCCUUCUUAGAAGAUUUUCCAUACAAUUGGUUUUAAGAACUACACCUUAUAUUACAGCCUUUAGAGAUUUCAUAUUCUUAUUCUUUGUUUCCAG